GUGAAGGACCAGCUGCAGGCUCAUCCGCUGUUGGGGGAUCCAAGCAGAGUUUUGCUGCUUGCAUGUCAUGGUUCCAUGGCCAGUGCAGAGCAGAAAUUGAUUUUUGAUAAGCCAGAGGAUGGAAUCAGGAAAAUUGUGUUAGCUACCAACAUGGCUGAAACAAGUAUCACCAUAAAUGACGUGGUUUUUGUGGUCGACUGUGGAAAGGCAAAAGAGACAUCUUAUGAUGCAAUUAACAACACUCCCUGUUUGCUUCCUUCUUGGAUUUCAAAAGCUUCCGCUCGGCAAAGAAAAGGAAGAGCUGGCCGUGUUCAGCCUGGCGAGUGUUAUCAUCUAUAUCCCAGAUGUGUAUAUGAAGCUUUUGCAGACUAUCAACUGCCAGAGCUUCUGAGAACACCUUUACAGUCCCUAUGCCUGCAGAUUAAAAGCUUACAACUUGGAAGUAUUUCAGACUUUCUAUCCAAGGCAAUCCAGUCGCCAGAACCACUAUCUGUUCAGAAUGCUAUUGAGUAUUUGAAGACAAUAGGGGCUCUAGAUGAGGAUGAAAAUCUGACAGUACUUGGACACAACCUAUCAAUGCUUCCAGUUGAGCCAAAACUGGGGAAAAUGAUAAUAUUAGGUGUAGUAUUCAACUGCCUGGAUCCAGUUCUGACAGUUGUUGCUGGUUUAAGUGCUAGAGAUCCAUUUUUAAUGCCA
RNAcentral lists this unclassified non-coding RNA (696 nucleotides) under Hevea brasiliensis (rubber tree). The record is from RNAcentral. Lineage: Eukaryota; Viridiplantae; Streptophyta; Magnoliopsida; Malpighiales; Euphorbiaceae.